AUGUCUAAAGCUUGCCCUAGGUUCAAUGUGCCAUCUAGGACCACUAUGUAUAGAGAUAUCAUUGCUCUUUAUGAAACUGAGAAAGCUAUGCUUAGAAAAUAUUUCAUUGAUUCACUCGAUUCUUCGUGGAACCUUAGGAAAAAAAUUAUUAGCUUUGUCUUGGUAGAUGGACACAAAGGGGACGAUAUUGGGAAAUCGUUAGAAAAAUUACUGAUUGAGUGGGGCAUUGAACGAGUGUGCACUAUUACAGUAGAUAAUGCUAGUUCUAAUGACACCUGCUUAGCCUACAUGAAGAGAUCUUUGACUAAUAGGGGCUGCACACAUGCAAGAAGUCAAUAUCUUCACAUGAGGUGUGUGGCUCACAUUGUUAAUCUUGUGGUUCAAGAUGGGCUAAAGAUAAUGUGCCAUCCUGUAAACAGAAUUCGCCAUGCUAUCAAGUUUGUUAGAGCCUCCCCAACUAGACUGGAUGUAUUUAAGAAGUGUGUGCAGCUAAGCAAGGUAGCGAGCAAAGGUUUGAUUAAUAUUGAUGUGGCUACUAGAUGGAACUCUACAUUUGUAAUGCUAGACAAUGUUGAGAAAUUUGAGAGGGCAUUUGAGCAAUAUGCACUUCAUGAUCCCAACUACAAGACCGAGUUAGAAAAAACUGGUCCAGAACCUAAGCCCGAUGCUCUUGACCAACGGGGUCCUCCAACUCAAAGUGAUUGGGUAUAUGUUCGUGAGUUCAAACAAUUCCUCCAACACUUCUAUGACCUCACGAAUAAGGUUUCUGGCACCAAGUAUGUUACAGCCAACACCUUCUUGGAAGAGAUUGCUGAUGUUAACUUUUUGUUGGGUGAAUGGAGUGAUCAUGUGAUCUGUGGUGAUGAUGAAAUAUUUAAAUGCAUGGCUCUCAAGAUGAAAGCGAAGUAUGAGAAGUAUUGGGGUGAUCCUGAAAAGAUGAACAAAUAUAUAUUCAUUGCCGCCAUCCUUGAUCCUAGGACCAAGGAAUCUCAUUUCUUUAAGGACAUGAUUGAAGACACCUAUGGCUGUAUAAUAGGUAACAGAAUCUUGACUUCUUCACACAACGAAUUUGUCUCUCUUUUUGGAGAAUACAAAGAAUUGUAUGGAACCAGUUCUACUAGUGAAUUAGCAUCACAAGCUCGUGCUAGUGAAAAUGCUUCUGAAAAUUCUCUUAUGAGGUCACGCUACAACAAGAAGAGAAUGAGAUCUUGUGGAGAGGGUAGCACUAGCUCAAAUAUGAGAACUGAAUUAGACAAGUACCUAGCUGAGGAUACCGAAGAGUUGACUGCAGAAUUUGACCUUCUUGAGUGGUGGAAGUUGAAUGCUGCUCGCUUUCCUGUCCUGUCAAAAAUGGCUCGUGAUAUACUAGCAAUCCCCAUCUCAACGGUUGCUUCUGAAUCAGCUUUUAGCACUAGUGGACGUAUUCUUGAUGACUUCAGAAGCUCUUUGACACCAGCGACACUCCAGGCGUUGAUAUGUACGCAAGAUUGGUUGCGUAGUAAGCCUAUCAAUGUUGAACUUGAUCUUGCUGAGUUGACCAAACUGGAGGAAGGUGUGGGAGCCCUUCGAUUGGAUGAUAAUGGUGUAAUAUCGAUUGAUUGA
Molecule: ribosomal RNA, 1602 nt
Filed under: Triticum aestivum (bread wheat)
Lineage: Eukaryota; Viridiplantae; Streptophyta; Magnoliopsida; Poales; Poaceae
Description: partial small subunit ribosomal RNA
Source: RNAcentral